UGGUCAGGGGAAUCACCAGAACAGGACACACAUCAUACUUAAAGGAGGCAUCUCGGAUCCUGCAGUCAGUGCGUCUCACUUCCUCCUUCCUUCCUUCUCUCCUCGAUACCAUGAAUCGUGGCGUGCGUCUGGUGAUGAUGGUGGUGGUGGUGGGUAUGGUGUGUAAGGGAAUCUCCGGCUGUAAAGACCUCGUCCCGCACCGAGAUCUAACAAACAUUCUACUCCUGCGCAUGGUGUGCCGUGACCCACACCCUGGAAGAUGUCCGAGAACUGCAUGCACUCUUCACUGGGCAGGAGGGGAACCAUCGGAAUGUGAGCAUGAUGGCCUUUGUCAUGAGCAUCAGAAAUGUUGCUAUGAAAUUUGCCUGGGGAAGAUGAUCUGCAUGACACCGGAACAUGAUUACUUUAAUUAAUGUCACCAUCUCUGCUACCACAGUCCAGACGGGAGAAGAAAUCGUUUUCAAAUUGCAGUCUGAAGUUUUAAAGUAUGUUUCUAUAGUUCCAGUUUAACAAGAAUCCACCAUUACUAGAGAGAAACACCCACGAGAACUCAACCAAACAUCUCAGUGGCCCUUGAAACAGUAUGAGAGAACAAGCAAGGUCUCUAAAUCUUGGGGUGGCUGGCUAAAAUGUAGACUUGGAGCCUUUUCUUUGUUGUUGCCUGUUAUUGCUUCACUGUGCGCGGGAGUGUCAGCUGAAUAAAUGCAUUGAAAAAUUAA
This 719-nucleotide long non-coding RNA is filed under the name Portunus trituberculatus (swimming crab). RNAcentral describes it as "uncharacterized LOC123507466, transcript variant X1". The record is from RNAcentral. Lineage: Eukaryota; Metazoa; Arthropoda; Malacostraca; Decapoda; Portunidae.